UUAAAAUUAAAUUAUUUAUAGUGUAAUUUUAUUAAAUAUUUAAUAAAAAUAUUUUUAUUAAUUUAAGUUAAUGUAUUAUUUAUAAAUUAAAUAAUUUUAGUAAUAGUAAAUUUGUAUAGUGAAAGAUUUUUGUAAUAAAUAUUUAUUAAAUAAAAAGUAAAUUUUAUUAAUUGUACCUUUUGUAUCAGGGUUUAUUAAUUUUUAUUUUAAAAUUUAAAAGUUCUCGAAUUUAAGAGAUUUAAAAUUAUAUAAAAUUUAUUGUUGUAAAAAUAUUUUUAAUGUAAUUUUGGUAAUGAAAUGUUAUUCGUUCUUAAAUAUAUCUAGUUUUUAAAGAAAUGAAUUUAAUUCAUAUAUUAAAUUAUAUUAUUUUUUUUUAAAAAAAAUAAUUUAUUUUAAUAUAAAAAUUUUUGGGGAUUAGCUUAAAAAUUUUAAUUUAAAAAAUAUUAUUAAAUUAUAAAAAUAAUAGGAUUAGAAAUUUUCAUUUAUAAAUAAAAUGUUAUAAUUAAUUUAAUAAAAAUAAUAAUUUUAGAAUUUUUUAAAUAGAUUAUUUAAAUAAUAAAUUAAAUUUUUAAUUUAUUUAAUAAUGAUAAAAUUAGUAUUAAUUUUUUUAAAAUUUAAAAAUUUAAUUAAGAUUAAAGUAAGGAAUUCAGCAAAUUUAUACUCACCUGUUUAUCAAAAACAUGUCUUUUUGAGAAUAAUUUAAAGUCUAACCUGCCCAUUGAUUUUAUAUUUAAAGGCCGCAGUAUCCUGACUGUGCAAAGGUAGCAUAAUCAUUUGUCUUUUAAUUGAAGGCUGGAAUGAAUGGUUGAUUGAAGUAUAAACUGUCUCAUUUUAAUAAGUUAAUAAUUUAGCUUUUAAAUUAAAAGGUUUAAAUGUAUUUGAAAGACGAGAAGACCCUAUAGAUUUUUAUAAUAUUUUAUUAAAUUAUAAUUAGUUUAUUAUAAUUAAUUUAUUAGAAUUUUAUUUGAUUGGGGUGAUUAAAAAAUUAAAUAAACUUUUUUUUUUAAAAAACCAUUAAUUUUUGAAUUAUUGAUCCAAUUUUAUUGAUUAUAAGAUUAAAUUACCUUAGGGAUAACAGCGUAAUUUUUUUAGAGAGUUCUUAUCGAUAAAAAAGAUUGCGACCUCGAUGUUGAAUUAAAGGUUAUUUUUAAAUGUAGAAGUUUAAAGUUUAGGUCUGUUCGACCUUUAAAUCUUUACAUGAUUUGAGUUCAGACCGGUGUGAGCCAGGUCGGUUUCUAUCUUUAAAAAAAUAAAAUAUUUUAGUACGAAAGGACCAGAUAUUUAAAAAAAUUUUUAUUUUAGGAAUAUUAUUAAUU
This 1316-nucleotide ribosomal RNA is filed under the name Neuronema laminatum. RNAcentral's name for it is "16S ribosomal RNA". The record is from RNAcentral. Lineage: Eukaryota; Metazoa; Arthropoda; Insecta; Neuroptera; Hemerobiidae.